CGGUUGAUCCUGCCGGACCUGACUGCUAUCGGAUUGAUACUAAGCCAUGCGAGUCAUUGUAGUAAUACAAGGCAGACGGCUCAGUAACGCGUAGUCAACCUAACCUAUGGACGGGAAUAACCUCGGGAAACUGAGUAUAAUGCCCGAUAGAACAUUAUGCCUGGAAUGGUUUAUGUUCCAAAUGAUUUAUCGCCGUAGGAUGGGACUGCGGCCUAUCAGUUUGUUGGUGAGGUAAUGGCCCACCAAGACUAUUACAGGUACGGGCUCUGAGAGGAGUAGCCCGGAGAUGGGUACUGAGACACGGACCCAGGCCCUAUGGGGCGCAGCAGGCGAGAAAACUUUGCAAUGUGCGAAAGCACGACAAGGUUAAUCCGAGUGGUUUCUGCUAAAGGAACCUUUUGUUAGUCCUAGAAACACUAACGAAUAAGGGGUGGGCAAGUCCUGGUGUCAGCCGCCGCGGUAAGACCAGCACCUCAAGUGGUCAGGAUGAUUAUUGGGCCUAAAGCAUCCGUAGCCGGCUCUGUAAGUUUUCGGUUAAAUCUGUACGCUCAACGUACAGGCUGCCGGGAAUACUGCAGAGCUAGGGAGUGGGAGAGGUAGACGGUACUCGGUAGGAAGGGGUAAAAUCCUUUGAUCUAUUGAUGACCACCUGUGGCGA
Molecule: ribosomal RNA, 658 nt
Filed under: uncultured archaeon
Lineage: Archaea
Description: bacterial SSU rRNA
Rfam family: Archaeal small subunit ribosomal RNA
Source: RNAcentral